RNAcentral lists this ribosomal RNA (497 nucleotides) under uncultured bacterium. RNAcentral's name for it is "partial 16S ribosomal RNA". It matches the Rfam family "Bacterial small subunit ribosomal RNA", at positions 28 to 507 of the family's 1533-position model. The record is from RNAcentral.
GAUGAACGCUGGCGGCGUGCCUAAUACAUGCAAGUCGAGCGAACAGACGAGGCGCUUGCUCCUCUGACGUUAGCGGCGGACGGGUGAGUAACACGUGGAUAACCUACCUAUCAGACUGGGAUAACUUCGGGACACCGGAGCUAAUACCUGAUAAUAUAUUGCACCGCAUGGUUCAAUAGUUAAAGACGGUUUUUCUUUCACUUAUAGCUUGUUCCGCGCCUCAUUAGCUAGUUGGUAAGUUAACGGCUUACCACGGCAACGAUGCGUAGCCGACCUGAGAGGGGGAUAGGCCACCAGGGAACGGAGACACGGACCAGACUCCUACGGGAGGCAGCAGUAGGGAAUCGUCCGCAAUGGGCGAAAGCAUGACGGAGCAACGCCGAGUGAGUGAUGAAGGUGUUCGGAUCGUAAAACUCUGUUAUUAGGGAAGAACAAAUGUGUAAGUAACUAUGCACGUCGUGACGGUACCUAAUCAGAAAGCCACGGCUAACUACGUG